AUUAUAUAAAAAUAAAAUUUAAAUGAUGUGCUUGUGAAAAUCCACACCAUAUACAUUAAAUUGAAUUAAAUAAGAAUUAUAUUAGCAAUGUAGGAAGAAAUGUUAAAAGAUAUGUAUACAAAUAAGUCUAUAUAUACAAUUUUGCAACCACAAAGUAAAUUUAUACUUAUAUAAGUUACCUAUUCUAUUGUCGAAGUGUAAAUAAGUUUAACUAUAUAUAUAUAUAUAUUUUUAAUUUUUUCUACAUAGUAUAAAAAAGAAUUCUAGUUGUUUAAUUUUAAAAUAUUUAUGUAUCUCAAAGUACCAAAAAUAGAAUGUAGGUUAAUUUAGAAUUUAAAAAAAUAAAAAAAUAAGUACUAAGUCAAAGUUCUUAUAUACAAAAAUUAAAAAAAUCAAAGAAUAUUUGAAAUAAAUCACUAGUUUUUUAGAUCCUA
RNAcentral lists this long non-coding RNA (434 nucleotides) under Physcomitrium patens. Its description in RNAcentral is "long non-coding RNA (PPAT_LNC010670)". The record is from RNAcentral. Lineage: Eukaryota; Viridiplantae; Streptophyta; Bryopsida; Funariales; Funariaceae.